Molecule: ribosomal RNA, 598 nt
Filed under: Colletotrichum gloeosporioides
Lineage: Eukaryota; Fungi; Ascomycota; Sordariomycetes; Glomerellales; Glomerellaceae
Description: eukaryotic LSU rRNA
Rfam family: 5.8S ribosomal RNA (bases 226-379)
Source: RNAcentral
AAGUAAAAAGUCGUAACAAGGUCUCCGUUGGUGAACCAGCGGAGGGAUCAUUACUGAGUUUACGCUCUAUAACCCUUUGUGAACAUACCUAUAACUGUUGCUUCGGCGGGUAGGGUCUCCGCGACCCUCCCGGCCUCCCGCCUCCGGGCGGGUCGGCGCCCGCCGGAGGAUAACCAAACUCUGAUUUAACGACGUUUCUUCUGAGUGGUACAAGCAAAUAAUCAAAACUUUUAACAACGGAUCUCUUGGUUCUGGCAUCGAUGAAGAACGCAGCGAAAUGCGAUAAGUAAUGUGAAUUGCAGAAUUCAGUGAAUCAUCGAAUCUUUGAACGCACAUUGCGCCCGCCAGCAUUCUGGCGGGCAUGCCUGUUCGAGCGUCAUUUCAACCCUCAAGCUCUGCUUGGUGUUGGGGCCCUACAGCUGAUGUAGGCCCUCAAAGGUAGUGGCGGACCCUCCCGGAGCCUCCUUUGCGUAGUAACUUUACGUCUCGCACUGGGAUCCGGAGGGACUCUUGCCGUAAAACCCCCCAAUUUUCCAAAGGUUGACCUCGGAUCAGGUAGGAAUACCCGCUGAACUUAAGCAUAUCAAUAAGCGGAGGA